GUCCCUGUAGCACAAUGGAUAGUGCGGCAGCCUUCUAAGCUGCUGAUGAAGGUUCGAUUCCUUCCGGGGACACCA
This 75-nucleotide transfer RNA is filed under the name bacterium. RNAcentral's name for it is "tRNA-Arg". It matches the Rfam family "tRNA". Rfam says of the family: Transfer RNA (tRNA) molecules are approximately 80 nucleotides in length. Their secondary structure includes four short double-helical elements and three loops (D, anti-codon, and T loops). Further hydrogen bonds mediate the characteristic L-shaped molecular structure. tRNAs have two regions of fundamental functional importance: the anti-codon, which is responsible for specific mRNA codon recognition, and the 3' end, to which the tRNAs corresponding amino acid is attached (by aminoacyl-tRNA synthetases). tRNAs cope with the degeneracy of the genetic code in two manners: having more than one tRNA (with a specific anti-codon) for a particular amino acid; and 'wobble' base-pairing, i.e. permitting non-standard base-pairing at the 3rd anti-codon position. The record is from RNAcentral.